UUGGAGGAUUCCGUUAUCUUUAAUUUUAUUAUUUACGGAUUUUUAUAUCCCUUAUUUAUUUGGGCUUCUCCUUUUUUGUCUGUAUUUUUAUCUCAUUAUCUAUAUAUUUAUUUUAUAGUUUGAACAUUGUUCUUUGACAUUUUGGACACAAAACAAUAACGACAUUAUUUGUCCGUUUUUCGUUUUCGUUAUUCAUUAUUUCUAUUUCAUUUUUUGUUUUAGUUAUUUUGUUUUUUCGUUUACGAUUUGAUUAUUUUGCGGUUCUUUAUUUUUUUCGGUUUUUUUUUGCCGUUUUAAAUUUAUGUACUGUAUUAUUUUUAGGACAAUAUAUUUUAUAUGCUAUAAUUAUGCUAUAAUAG
This 359-nucleotide unclassified non-coding RNA is filed under the name uncultured Bacteroidales bacterium. RNAcentral describes it as "16S-23S ribosomal RNA intergenic spacer". The record is from RNAcentral. Lineage: Bacteria; Pseudomonadati; Bacteroidota; Bacteroidia; Bacteroidales.